GAUGAAGAACGCAGCAAAAUGCGAUAAGUAAUGUGAAUUGCAGAAUUCAGUGAAUCAUCGAAUUUUUGAACGCACAUUGCGCCCGCUGGUAUUCCGGCGGGCAUGCCUGUUCGAGCGUCAUUUCAACCCUCAAGCCCCCGGGUUUGGUGUUGGGGAUCGGCUCUGCCCUUCUGGGCGGUGCCGCCCCCGAAAUACAUUGGCGGUCUCGCUGCAGCCUCCAUUGCGUAGUAGCUAACACCUCGCAACUGGAACGCGGCGCGGCCAUGCCGUAAAACCCCAACUUCUGAAUGUUGACCUCGGAUCAGGUAGGAAUACCCGCUGAACUUAAGCAUAUCAAUAAGCGGAGGA
This 348-nucleotide unclassified non-coding RNA is filed under the name soil metagenome. Its description in RNAcentral is "partial contains 5.8S ribosomal RNA, internal transcribed spacer 2, and large subunit ribosomal RNA". The stretch from base 1 to 120 matches the Rfam family "5.8S ribosomal RNA", at positions 35 to 154 of the family's 154-position model. The record is from RNAcentral.